UAUCCACAUUGUUUCCAUUGACACUGAGGGGAGAGGACUGUUUUCCAGCAAUGAUGAAAGUCCCAGGUUUGCUACUUGACCUUUUCUAACAUUAUUCUGGCAAGACUGUUCAAAUGCCUCAUUACUGCCUUGGCGAAGAUGUGAUCAUUAAUGCAAACAAGUGCAAAAAUUCCCAGUACAGGCAUAUGAACUAAAAGAGCAGCAAUACACAGAGGUCUUCCACCAGCUGGAUGGGUGAACAAAUAAAAUAGUCUGCUAAGAAGUACACAACCCCUUGUUGUGUUUCUACUUUGUAAAAUGUCAGCCUGAGGCUAUGUUUUACCGCAAUGGAAUUUGACCACUGAAG
Long non-coding RNA from Talpa occidentalis (Iberian mole), 346 nucleotides. RefSeq lists it as uncharacterized. The transcript has 3 exons. The record is from RefSeq and is a predicted model, not a curated record. Lineage: Eukaryota; Metazoa; Chordata; Mammalia; Eulipotyphla; Talpidae.